Long non-coding RNA from Coturnix japonica (Japanese quail), 212 nucleotides. RefSeq lists it as uncharacterized. NCBI's taxonomy places the organism in Eukaryota, Metazoa, Chordata, Aves, Galliformes, Phasianidae. The record is from RefSeq and is a predicted model, not a curated record.
GGCAACAAGUUUAUGACUUCAACGUAAAGUCAAAUGGAAGGAGAAGCUCAGGGACAUGAACGAAAGCUCUUACUCAAAUCAGAAACAGCUGACAGAAUAACAGAGAAAUGGCCAAGAAGGAAAGGCAAGAUCAUCCAGGAGGGGAAGAGAGAGAAAUAAAGAGACAAGAGAGAGGAAAAGAGGAAGGGAGGAAGAAGGAGGAGAAGAGGGAG